RNAcentral lists this ribosomal RNA (505 nucleotides) under uncultured bacterium. Its description in RNAcentral is "partial 16S ribosomal RNA". It matches the Rfam family "Bacterial small subunit ribosomal RNA", at positions 28 to 507 of the family's 1533-position model. The record is from RNAcentral.
GACGAACGCUGGCGGCGUGCCUAAUACAUGCAAGUAGAACGCACAGUUUAUACCGUAGCUUGCUACACCAUAGACUGUGAGUUGCGAACGGGUGAGUAACGCGUAGGUAACCUGCCUGGUAGCGGGGGAUAACUAUUGGAAACGAUAGCUAAUACCGCAUAAUAUUAAUUAUUGCAUGAUAAUUAAUUGAAAGGUGCAAUUGCACCACUACCAGAUGGACCUGCGUUGUAUUAGCUAGUAGGUGAGGUAACGGCUCACCUAGGCGACGAUACAUAGCCGAACUGCGAGGGUGAUCGGCCACACUGGGACUGAGACACGGCCCAGACUCCUACGGGAGGCAGCAGUAGGGAAUCUUCGGCAAUGGACGAAAGUCUGACCGAGCAACGCCGCGUGAGUGAAGAAGGUUUUCGGAUCGUAAAGCUCUGUUGUAAGAGAAGAACGGGUGUGAGAGUGGAAAGUUCACACUGUGACGGUAUCUUACCAGAAAGGGACGGCUAACUACGUG